GGCUCGAGGUGCGCCGCCCGUCAGGGCCCGCAGCCCCCCUGCGCGGGAGGCCCGAGGGCGCGGGUAGCGCACCGCGGUGGGGCUUCCAACGGCCUUGGGGCCGCAGCGGAAAGAGUACAGAAAAUGGGUUUCUCCCUUUUGACUUUGCUGGUUGUCUAAAAUAAGUGGCAGAUACUUUCCCUCCUGCAGUGUACCAGAUGGACCUGUUCCUGGAUGGAGAAGUGAAAAGAAUCAUGUGUGUGCAUCCCUUGUCUCAGGCAUCUCAGAAGACAAAACUGGAUUGAAAUGAGGCAGAGGGCUGAAGCAAGUCAGACAGCAUUCUUGUAUUUCAGCUAGUUAAAAGCUGUCCUGGGAAACUGGAUUCUGCCCCUGGCUCCCUGAUGGCAG
Rhea pennata is the source of this 387-nucleotide long non-coding RNA. RefSeq lists it as uncharacterized. The transcript has 3 exons. The record is from RefSeq and is a predicted model, not a curated record. Lineage: Eukaryota; Metazoa; Chordata; Aves; Rheiformes; Rheidae.